Molecule: ribosomal RNA, 497 nt
Filed under: uncultured bacterium
Lineage: Bacteria
Description: partial 16S ribosomal RNA
Rfam family: Bacterial small subunit ribosomal RNA
Source: RNAcentral
GAUGAACGCUGGCGGCGUGCCUAAUACAUGCAAGUCGAGCGAACAGACGAGGAGCUUGCUCCUCUGACGUUAGCGGCGGGCGGGUGAGUAACACGUGGAUAACCUACCUAUAAGACUGGGAUAACUUCGGGAAACCGGAGCUAAUACCGGAUAAUAUAUUGAACCGCAUGGUUCAAUAGUGAAAGACGGUUUUGCUGUCACUUAUAGAUGGAUCCGCGCCGCAUUAGCUAGUUGGUAAGGUAACGGCUUACCAAGGCGACGAUGCGUAGCCGACCUGAGAGGGUGAUCGGCCACACUGGAACUGAGACACGGUCCAGACUCCUACGGGAGGCAGCAAUAGGGAAUCUUCCGCAAUGGGCGAAAGCCUGACGGAGCAACGCCGCGUGAGUGAUGAAGGUCUUCGGAUCGUAAAACUCUGUUAUUAGGGAAGAACAAAUGUGUAAGUAACUAUGCACGUCUUGACGGUACCUAAUCAGAAAGCCACGGCUAACUACGUG